This is a small nucleolar RNA of Cavia porcellus (domestic guinea pig), 241 nucleotides long. Its record names the gene U3. It matches the Rfam family "Small nucleolar RNA U3". Rfam says of the family: Small nucleolar RNAs (snoRNAs) are involved in the processing and modification of rRNA in the nucleolus. There are two main classes of snoRNAs: the box C/D class, and the box H/ACA class. Lineage: Eukaryota; Metazoa; Chordata; Mammalia; Rodentia; Caviidae. The record is from Ensembl.
AAGCAAAAUACUUUGUUAUAGAAAUUAACAAAGAUAACCAAUCAUUUAUAUAGUAUGUUACUGGAGAAGUUUCUUUGAUUGUGUAGAGUACUAGAAACCACGAGGAGGAGGCAUAGUGUUCCUUCCUGAGCGAGAAGCUGGCUCUUGGGUGUUGCCUGAGUGUAACUGCCACUUGCCAUUGAUGAUCAUUUUUGUUCUCUCCUUGGAGUGUCCAAGAGGGGAGGAAUGUAGUCUGAGUAGC